This is a non-coding RNA of Anas platyrhynchos (mallard), 11993 nucleotides long. NCBI's taxonomy places the organism in Eukaryota, Metazoa, Chordata, Aves, Anseriformes, Anatidae. The record is from RefSeq and is a predicted model, not a curated record.
GGUGUGCAAGUCUUUGCCCAUUUUGCUUCAUUAAAAUAUUUCUUUAGAAGAAAAAGACAGUAAGUACAAUAUUAAAUAUUUAAACUGGUGAAAGAAAACCUCUCAAGGGAGACCACUUUAAAGGUUAUUAAAAAUGGGUCUUCAGACUUUCCAAAGCACUAUUUUCACCAACUAGCUCUGUUCAUACACAUAAAAAAUAUGAAAUAUAUGUUGGCACAUAAAUUCGUGUCCAUGAACAUUGUAAACAGCCAGUAAUUGCCAGGUUUGAAUUCUGGAAUUGCUGUCAGGCAAGGCCUUUGAAGCCUUGUCCCCUUGGGCAGUGCUAGAGAGAGACACCAGUCUACACUGUUGAAUGUUGUUGACGGAGUUGUCCUCUGCAACUAUUCAGAGGCAGUUAAGAGGAAAUCUUACCAGGUAGGAGGUUGCACUAUUCAGGCUCUAGAUUUAGUGAAAAUUGGUCUAUUUUAUGUGAGAAAGCUGAGAAGAUUUACAGGCAAGUUCAAUUACCAUCAAAGUAUCUGGUACUUUCUUGGUGUUAAGAAUUUGACAUCCCAAUUUGCACUAGAUUGGAAGAAAACAGAUGUUUGCAUCCCUGGAAUCACCUCUCCCUUUCCAAUAAACCUCUGUCCACAAAAGGCAACAAGUGGACAAACUAUAUAUAUAUAUAUAUUUUAUUUUUUUUUCCUAGAAGUUCUUGCCCAUCCUCUGCUUCAAGCUGAACAUUGGAACAUUGGGGUCACUCUGCACAGCCCCAGGGAAGGGUUAGCAGGUUGGUGAGCACCAUGGUAAUGGAGAGUUCAUGCCCAUCUCAGCCUGCAGUUGGUCAGGAUUCAUCUGUAGCGCUGGCUGGAGAAGCUCCAGGUGAAUAUAUUUCAUUGGAGCAUUUCAGUGAAAGCCAAGAUGCCAUGUGGUGACAGUUCUAUUUUGAGGAAGGUGUGCUGGAAAACAAGCAGGCUUUCAUUGUACCUGUCUGAUCUCCUGCCAGCUCAUCUGCCCAGCAGAUGGCCUGAUAACAGAGGAAUGCUGACGUGCAAAGUCAGGGCUUAUCAGCUGCCUGGAGGCCAGAGGAUUUCUUGAGCAUAUUACCCUCAGACAGACCACAAAGACUGUUUCUCCUUGAGAGUUGACAUCUGUGGGGCUGCCCCAUCAUUGGAGUGUCCUGGAAACCCCAGGUCUCCACCUGCAAAUGAAUGUGUUUUGGUGGCACUUUCAUGUUUUCUGCCACCUCGAGGCUUUGCCUUGCAGAUGGUUCUGCAAUGUUGUUUCAACAUGGAGCAAAAACAUUUCUGAAGUGCUGAAAUUCUCCCUGAAUGAACUGAUUACAUUCCUUCACAUAGAUCUAGGAGUAAGCAAAUCAAAAAUUUGUUAACAGUGUUUAGAUGGAAAUAAGCAGUGAGAAUGCAAAAUGAGUUCCAGGUAGAGGUCCAUGUCAAAUAUACUGAAAAAAAAAGUUGAAGGUUUUAAUUUCUGGGUAGUGAACAGAAACUGUAAUGCAACUGUGAAAUCCUAAGUCAAAGGCAUUGUAUUUUGUGGGUAAAUAUCCUGCCUUGGAAGAAGGAACACUGAAGUAGGAGCUGACCUGAACUGUGUUUUGGGGCUCUGAGUCUUGUACCUGGCUUUGCCACACAUGGCUGGUAUUACACUGGACAAGUGAAUUAAAUCAAGGCUGGCCUGACCAGAAGUAAAUGCCAGUGCUAUUGGUCAUCUGUGGCUCCUGCUUUCAGUCUGUGGUAAUGAACAGACUCUAUCAGGAUGAGAUUAAUCUGACCUAUUUCAGAAGCCUACUUUUAGAUGAGGUGACGCGAAUCUGGAAAUACCCAUUUCUUUCCAUUAAUUACAAAGUAACUCUAGUCAAGGAGCUCAGACAUAGAUAACCACAUCUUGUCAUAUAACUCCCCCUCUUCCUGACUCAGUACUCCGUGUAGGAGAUGAGGUAAUAGUAUUUCCUUUCUUGUCUGCUCAGAUUGUGUGGAGGCCCACAAAAGAGAGCCACUAAACGUUUCAAAAGUGUUUAUCACAUCUGUUUCAUGUCUGUGAUGUGUCACAUUCUAAAAAAGGGCUUCAUAGGAUCAGGAAUUUGGGAGCACUGACGGAAAUUUUAAAAAUAUAUUCUGGAAAAGAAUUUCAAAAAGCAUCUUUUUUUUUUUUCUUUUCUUUUUUUUUCUAUCUAAGGAACAUCAAAGUUGGUCAGCUCUGCUAAGGAUAUUGUUGUGAAAGGUCUGUAGAACAGGAUAGAAGGCGGCAGGAUGGGGUAGUGGCUGCCUAUGAGCCCAGACAGGGUCAGGUUUGUGCACUCACUCCUGUGGAAACACCUCCCCAACAGCAUAAGGCUUCUGUGGACCUUUGUGAAGGGAUGGCCUGUUUGGAUCAAGGAGAAAAAGCAGCCACAUCCCUGUUUUCAUUUCGGAUCUUUGAAUGGAGCCUGUCAGUACAGAGAUGAAGGCAGCUAGCUGGGCAGGAGGCGAAGCUCUGGGGACACCUCUUCCCAACAGAGGGCUCACACCCAGGCAGCAGCAAUCUGGGGACACAGAGCUCUGGGUUAGUCAGCAGAGCUAACUUUAAAUAAAAUGAAAUUUGCAAUUAAAUUGGCAUAGAUGCCAAUGGGUCCUCUACCACUGCUUUCCUACUGAGUGGAGUUGGGCUGGGUAGGCAACUUGAUCUUAGAGUUACUAGGCUUUGGCAGCCCCUGUUGAUUCAUGGCUGGUGGCUCUGCUGCUGGUAAUGGAUCGUGUUAGAUCUGCAUGCUGUCCAGGUUGGACGUGCUGCAAGAGAGGCACUGAAAGCUUGGCCUAGGAGCAAUAGCUCUGAGAUGACUGUUGUGUCAUUAAAUCUGUCCCCAGAUUUAUUUAUUUUUUACAUUUGUAGUUGUUGGGAAAUGAAGUCCAAGCAUUUAACAAGUGUUUUCUAGAUUAAUGAAUGAUAGUUAAUGAAGCAAUAAUUGGAUUUCUAUGUUAAUCAAGUUUUGAUUAUGUGUUACAUGCUCAGGGUCACAUUUUCAAAAGAUUAAUGCCAAAACUAUCUUCCUUGUCUGCAUUUUUUGUUUUUGUUUUGUGGCUAGCCUGACAUUUGCUUCCUUGAUUAGAGGGAUCAAAUCAGAUUACAAAUUCUACAUCCGGAUAUGUUGUGACGAGAACCAAACUAUGGACUUGAAAUUCAUUUUUAUCUGGGAAACAGAUUAUAUUGCUACUGCUCAGAGCUAGAGCCCAAUCCACAAAUUCCAAAUCUUUGGUGCUUUUUAUUCAGCAGCUUCAUUUGGAAUGUAGUUAAUAUCUCAGCAAUUUUUAUCCAGGUUAUACAACAGGCAUUUUCCUAUAAAUUCAGGUGUAUACAUACUUCGUUUAGCUCACCUAUUUUUUCUGCAGAUUUUCACUGAGGUCUGUCAGGCAGUUUUUUCACUAAAGAAAACCCACCAAAUUUUUUUAUUACUUCCACCGUAGUUUGUUAAAUACUUGAAACUUCAGAGUAUGGACAGUUUACAUGUCAGAUUGCAUGCAGAUCUUUCCUUCAUAUGUAUAUAGAUUUACAUAUAUAUAGAUGUCUCUUGGAUUUUUUUUUGCAAGUAUUAAACCGUUUGAAUUUUCCUUCCAGUACUCAUUUUCGAAAUAAAUAAUCUGAAGCUGGGUUUGGAUUGUGAGAGGGAAGGCCUGCACAUAUGUUUCAGAAAAAAAUGUGUGGGUGAUCCAAAUCUGGAGCUCAGAUACUUUCCACAUGACUGAUGGACACAUAAAACAAGUAUCAGAGUCCUUUUCUUAGGUUCCAGCCAGAAUUUAAACCAGAGAAAAGGGAUGGUUUAUCAGAAACUUAAAAGAGAAUACUUUCAAGGAGGUGGGGAAGCAGUUGAAGUCCUAAGUGCUGUGGGACAGAUCCUUAACAUAAGAGUUCACUUACAGUAGCUGGGGAGCUGAUAAAGGUACCUAAAAACAGAAGAAUUGCUGGGUUUUGGAAGGUAAUCUUUCUUAUGAUGUGAGAACAUGCCUGUUGCAUAAUUCACACAACUAAAAAUUCAGACCUGGCAAGCGAUAUUAUAUGGUAAAUGUGUCUAAACUAUGCUGGGCUUUCUAGUAAGAGGCAGAAAAGAGGAAUCUUUCUUAAAAAUAAAACUGAAUUACAUUUUGGUUAUAUUGACCUAACAGUCUCACUGCAGAAGGGAUGGCUUCUAUAUCAGUUAUAUGAAGCCUACAGACACAUCUAUCCAAGAGCAUUCAAUAUUAACUGUAAUAUGAAAUGAUUAAGGUAUGAAAACUCAGUUACAUGUUGACAUGCAAAAAACCCUUGGAGGGACAGCUGUCAGCACUGAGUGGUCUUAAGUGAAUGCCAUUGUUGUCAGUGGAACGUGGUAAGAUUUUUGAUAUGUGCUCAUAAUAAAGACAUACAAAUAGUCUUUUAUUUAAGGGUACUAUCCAUAACCUAAGGCUGUGAAUGGGUUGAACAGAAACACCAUGAAUAAAAUUACAGAUUAUAGAAAUAGACACUAAAGGUGUUUUGAUUAUUUUAAAUGAAGUUUCUUCAACAAGCAAUUGUGAUUCCCCCAGUGUGAUGAAAACUCUAAAGGGCAAAAGAAAAUGAAUGGUGAGAACCCAGACAUGCAUUCAGGGAGCAGGCUAUUGUGAAGAGCGCUGAGAAAUCCAGGUUUCAGCCCAGCUCAUGACAGGGAAAGAAUUUGAACUUACAGAUCAGGACAGGGACCAUCCACCACGUGCAGCUGUGCUGGCUAGCCCAGCAUUGUGCUUCACUGCAUGGAGACUGAGGAGCUGAGCCAGCUCUAGGAGGACUGAUUCUUCUGUUAAUUUGAUUUGGACCUGGAGUUUAAAAACACAUUUCCAUUUCCUAUUAACAAGAUGACCACUUUGAUUGUGAGACACUUGCGAGGGUAAAUACCUGCGUGUAGUCUUGCUGGCUGAAUGUGAAAAAUGAAUGCCGUGCACAGUGGAAGGUGGGAGUCUUUUGCCCAAAUUCAAAGGUGACUGCAGUGGAUGACGGAGUGCCACAGUGGAUGUAACAGAAAUGAUUACAAUCUCUGCCUUUUUGCAGGCUGCCUCCUAGUGCCUCUCAGGCUCUUCUGAAAACUUGUGAGGACUGACUGAUUUCAGCUCAGUCACGUGUACUCAGAGUCAGUGGCUUUUACAUGCAAACUGUUAUGUUUGGUAAGUGAUCCUACUGGAGUCUGAAUAAAGCCUGUCCCUGUUCAUUUUGUUUCUCCAUUGCUAGAAAAUGAAAGGAUGAACAGGUGUGAAAAAUAAAAGGUUGCAAGAGACAAAAAAAAAAACAUGCAAUUUGAGGAGGAAUACAUGUUUUCUGACUCAUUCUCUGUUCACUCAGUAUUAUACACAUUGUCCACAUGUUGUCUCAUGCUCUUGACUACCUCUGAAAUGAGGUCAGCUAGUGAAGCUGGGAGUGAAGGGAGUUACAUUCUGGCAUGGCAAAGUUCAGCUAGCACUUAUCCAAGAGAGAAGAGACAUUGACUCUCUGACCAUUUUCAAGGAUGAAGGGAUCUUCAUACUGCUUGCUGCCCAAACGCUGCUCUUGACAUGACUAUGGAAGAAUAUUCAUCUCGGACUGUUGGUCCUCCUGGAUUGUACUGUUUGUUUGUAAUAGGACAUGUAAUGAGAACAGAGCUUCCCUUAUCCCUCACUGAAGUGAUUGAGACAGACUCCAGUGUCAAACCACUUCAGCCUAACAAUUUUGGAUCCACGUCCCACUGAAUUGAUAAGAAAAGCUACCCUUGGGUCUGGGUCUGCAGAUUCUGCUUUUACAGAUUCUCAUUUGCACUGAGGAAGUGUGGAACAGGCACUCAGCAAUAAUUUCUCCAAACAUCAGUUACCAGCUAUGCACAAAGCUCGGGCCGAGCAGGAUCCCUCCGGCUAUGUGCGUGGGCGGCCGAUCUGGUUUUCUCCCAAGGUGACAGCUGCUUGCUUUGCAUUAAGGGCUGUGACUGCCCCCACCUGAUAUGUUUCCAGACACUUGGCAAUCUCCUGAGCUUCUAAAUUGAAGUGGUCAUGUUCUCCAUUGCCCUGAUUGUUCGUUGGGAAUCAAUGGAAGAUUUUGCCUGAUAUCCAUUUGCAUUAGUCUCCUCCUCUAUCUUUACUGCUUCUGGACUACACCAACAGCUCCACCUCCAACUGACUGUCUCCUGCAUUUGACACCAGUUCACUAAACUCAUCUGUGCUGUUCCUAUUGUUUUACUCACACAACAAAUACUUUGUGUAUAUGGUUUUGUUUCUCUCUGAGCAUAACAUCUAAAUCAUAGAAAUCAUUUUAUCCCUGAAGAAAAUGAUCAUCAAACAAUGUUACAGCACCAUAAAAGGAGUUCUAACUCAAUUAUGUUUUAUAACUAAAUAACAGAAGAAAGGUGUGAUACCUGAAAGACAGAAGAAAUCCCUACCUGCUCUCCAGCCUCAAAGUUCUUUGAGAUUUUCUGUCUAGCCUAGGAAUAUAUCAUUUUCUUGAGCACCUCUUCUCCUGUUUUGUUUGUUUGUUUUUGUUUUGUUUUCUUUGUUUUGUUUCUUUUUUCCCCUGCUCGUUUUUACUUUCCUCUUUGACAGUAGGAUUCAAAGAAAUGCUUGUCUUGUAAUUUAUCCUACCUGGAUGUGAUGUUUUCCCAGUCCAUUUUAAAGCCUAGCUGAGAGAUUUGAUUUUUAAUAGUUAUCAUACACAAUUAAGUAGUUGUUAGCAUUUUAUUGGACGUGCUGCCCAAGUGACUGGGUGAUGGAAUAGCAAGCAAUUUGUUUAAUGCAUCAUCUUAUCUUGAGACUACAGAGAUAAGUAGGUGUAAAACACAACAGUCAAAACAGAAAACAAAGGGAAAUAUUUGCCAUGAUCUGAACAUAUACAAAUAAAUGUUAGUGUAAUGUAUGAUGGUUUCACAUUGAUUUUUAUUGUUGAACACAUGUAUAAUGAAAUUACACUUAACAUAGUCUUUGACUUCCUCUAUUUUUCUUUCAUAUUAUUUAAAUAUUAAGCUACCCAAUUUAUUGUUAAAAAUUUGGAGUAACAAUUUAAAGUUCAAAGUCUUUACAUAUAUCUUCUCUGUAAUAUUAGUUAACUAUCUGGGGAUUUUACACUGUAAUGUGAAAAUGAUUUUUUUUGAGUUCUUUGUGGAGUAAUAAUUAUUUAGAAAUUAUAUCUCUCUGCUGUUUCUAUGGAAACAUUUUCACCUUAUGCUAAUGAAAUACAAAUGAUGGGGAAAAUGAGUCUUUUUGCACAGAGUGUUAGAAUAUAUAUAUAUUUCAGAUUGGAAAUGUUUAAUGUAGAUACAGUAUGGCUGUCAGUAUAGCUUCAGAAAUGGGUUAAGUUCAUCCUAUUCAAUGUUGAAUUCCAAAAGCUAGAGUACUUGUCAUUAGGGUAAAACCAUCUUGCUGUGUACUGGCAGUGAUGUGUCAAAAUCCUUUAUUUUAAUUUGAGUCUGGGCUCAGCAAGAAUUCUAUGUGUUUCCUGUUUCAUAUUUUUUUUCUUUUUGUUGUUUUUGAUUGUUUCCCCUUGGCCUAUCUGACACGAUGUAAAGUUAGCAUUUACCUACUGUGAUAAUUUUAUUCUUUCCAGACCUGGGGAGUAGGAGGUGAAAGUUGGUAUCACUAGUAUGGCAAUCAAGAUGUUGGUUUUAUUCCUAGUUCUACCAUGGAUGUGAAGCUCUAAUCAAUUUCCUUGCAGAUAACAAACUUCUGGAUUCUGUGACAAUUGCACCAGCUCUUCCAGUGCCUCCAGGUCCUCAUUGGGAUAGACCCACUGAAGAGUGGAGGGUGGCUCUAAAAUGGGGUGCGUGGCAAGCAGUCAGGUGAAGAGCUGAACAAGCUACAUCUGAGUGGUCUUCAUUCAUUGCAGUGAAUAAAGCCCAUGUUGUCUUCAUGUAUGCUUCAGAGCAGAAGCUAUUGUAAGGCAAGAAAAGAAAAAAAUUGUCUUUUUUUUUUUUCAGACCUCUUGGUCAACAGUUUCACUGGAGUUGCAUUAUUUCCACAAGAAAUUUUAUAUAUUUUUUCAUGCUUUGUCACCUUAAGUUUUCAUUCCAAAGUCUUCCUAAAUUCACUUGAAAUUGCAGAAGAUGCAUAUUGCUGGGUAAAGGCCAUACAUUGGUAUUGUAAAAAGCACAAGUAGGAUCCUAUGUGCAUUUGCAAUAAUAUAAAGGGCUAAUCAGUGUAGAGAUUUUUUUUUUUCCAACUAUAGACAAAACACAUAUACAUUAACUAUUAUGAACUUGUUUUUAAAACAUAAAUAUCUAAAUGCUUCUUUGCAUGUCAUAUUACAAAUUAUGUGCAAAAACAUAAAUGGAUAGGCAGGCAUGUGCUCUUCUCUUUUAAUUACUUUAAAGUAUUUAGCAGGUCAAACUAAUUUUACUACAUUAUAUUUUUCAGGUACAGUAUUUCAAUGCAUAAACUAUCAACAGAAAAACAUAAAGAUAUGUAUAGUAAGCUUUACUGUAACUAGUUCUACAACAAUGCACACAGUGAGCACUGUGCACGUAGCUGCGAGCAGUAUGUGUGCUUGCAAAAUACAUCUUCACAUGUUAGUUACCUGUAAGAUUAAUUUUGAAGAAUUAUUUUCUCAUUCUUUUUGUCCUCAGGUAACUUUGAAAUCACUCAACAACACUUAUACACCCUUUUUCUUUAAAAGCAAGCCAGGUAACAGUAGUAUCCAACUCAUUCAGCUGACUCAUUAGGAAGUUUGUAGCUCUGAACUGUGGAAUGUUUAACAUGUAGAACAGUAGCUUCUAGAAGAGUAACGAUGAGAUGGGCACAUAUGAAACUUAAGCAUCUGGUGGGAAUAUAUUCUUCUCUCAGGCAUGUAAGGAAUGUUAGAACUACUACAUAAAUAGUUCCAUAUGCAGGAAAUACUGCUUCUUGAGUGGCUUCUGUACGGAAAUAAACCAUAACUAGAGUAAGAAUUUACUCAGACUCUUUUAGCAUAAAUAUUGCUUAUGUGAGUGAUGGUAACAGACUCAGCCCUUUGUGGCUACGUAGGUGAGAGGCAGAUAUAACCUUCUCCAAACACAUUGUAUUAAGUCUGAUAAAGUUAUGCAGAGUCCUGAGUGGCUGGGGAAGCAGUGAGAAAACAGAAGUGGACAUGUGUCUCAGCAGCUUGUACAAUGGUUAUUUGUGUCAGCAUCAGGUUCAGCAGUGUCACAAAAAUAAUUAUGCAUUUCACUCAGAAGAUGGAAACAGCAAUAUAUUUAUUCAUGAAAAUAAAGAUUGAGCAGGGCCAGUCUUAGUGAAUGAGAAAGUGAUUUAAUAAAGUUCUACUGGUAAAUGUGACAUUAACAAGAAUAUUGAUACAAGAUCACUUGAUUAUUUACUGCUUAGGUCAGACUAAAAGUGCCGGGGAGACCCUCGUUUCAUAAUGUUCAGAAUGGAGUCCUUUUUGCUGUCCAAACUCAGAGGAGUCUAGAUGUGACUGGACCCUAUUCCAAUCCCAGAUUUAACAGUCUAUGCCUAAAGGAUUAUAUGCAUAAACAGUCCUCUACAUCACUUAGCUAAGAUUACAAAGUUUCAGCAUACUUAACAAAUCACUUGCAAAGUUUCAACAAGCUAGCUAUUAGUCACUUACUGAGUUUCUGUCACAGGUAAGGAAUCUCUCAGCCUCAGUGAGUAACCUUGAGAAGAGGCCAACAACUUUCAGCUUUCAGCCCAGGGCUGAAGAUUGCUUCCUUGUGCCAACUUUGAUCUAUAAACUGGUCUCCUUCCUUCAUUUCUGCUGCCCUGAGUACCACCACACCUGUCUCUGCUUGCAUGAUUGUGUUUACCAGAGUAGAACAAACUCCUGACGGGAAUUGACUCCACAGACUGGACUAGAUUUGUUUGUAUGUCAAGGGAUGGGGACAAGGGUUGGCAGGGAAUACCUUGGCAGAUGGGAGUGCCAGUGUGAUUGUAGCCAGAAUGUGCCUCACUUUUAACUUGGAUAUAUUAAACAACUAUAGUUCAUUGAAUACAUGUAUGAUAUUCAGCUUUGACGUUUGGCUUUCUUCCAUUAUUUUAAUUGUUUGAAUUGUUGAAUUUUUAUUAUUUGGCUGGCUAAUUACAGACUUGCCAACCUGUGGCCAAGCAAAAGUAUUAUAAACUUCUCUUGGCCUGAGGAAGGGUAGUAUGCAGCGAAUGCAUGGGUUGCACUAAUGUGGUUGUAAAAAUCUGAUAUGGCAAAAUAUUGGAUAUGGCUGGCUGCCUUGAUAUGUAGCUUCCUGCAAAAGCAGGACAGGACAAGGGUUAAAAGGAAGACUCUUCAUUAAUUAUAUCUAAUUCGCAUGACAGCUUUGCUCAAUCAUUCAGUUUCAAUCAUUUAUACUGCAGGUUGAGUUUUAAUAAAGCUAGGCUUCCUCAUCAGAAGUGUUUCGUGUUCAAAGAUUGAAAGGAAAAAAUUUUGAAUUAAUUUCUAUAGACUUGGUUCCAAGGAAUAUGGAGGUGUAUAUAAUUCUGUACAAAAGCUGAAGCAGGAAGAUUUUGUUCUGUUGCUUUACAUCAGAAGGAGCCAAAAUUUCAGAAGUUUAUAUCUGUAAUGUUUGGCACAAAUAAAAUUUCUUGAAAUUAGAGGCUACUUGCAACCUAAAUUAUUCUAUAAAGGUCACUUGAUCCAACCUCCUCCCUUAAAUCAUGGGAUCUUAUGUACAACUUAUGGUCAAAAAUGUGUUCUGGAAAUAUAUGUAAUAUACAUUUGGAGUAUGUAUAUAUGACUUAGUUUUGAACCUGUGAUCUUACCUACACUUGGUACAAAUGUCCUUUUUUAUGCAUCUUCUCUCAGCAUACCUUUUAUCAGGAUAUGUACAUGUGCCUUAUGCAGUGUAUGUAUGUAUAAAUUUGUACUGGUUGGUGAACCUGAAGGAUUUACUAAUGAGCAAUACCUUGGAUAGAGAAGAGAGGUGACAACCAAUUGCUCAUUUGGGUUUCAAGUCAAAUAGGCCAGCUUAGGAUGUCUUCAGAGGUCCAGGAUUUUAGUUGAAGAUUCUUAAAGUGGAAAAGUUUGGUAUUGGAGGAAACUUGGUAGGGGUGAUCUGUUGGUCUGGCCCCAGAAAAUAUGAAAGAAAAAUGAGGAGACAACAUAACUUCUGUUGACCAAAGGUGUGCAGAGGAUUAUGUGAGGCAAUUUGGAAAAGAGGAGGUGGUACAAAUCUAAGUAAGAAAGACAAGCAUGUGUGCAUGGAGAGAGGGCGCAGUCAAUUACAAAUGAUUCAAGGGUGGAGUUUUAAGCUGUUGUGCUUUUUGGUGUUUAUGUGCACUGGUCCCUAAUGCUGAUGCUUAAGAGAUCUCUGUUCCAAAGCUGAAAUGUUAUAGGGAAGAAUACAAGGGGCUUGUCAUUCAGAGAUGAGGACAGAGGGAAGUACUAGUAGGGUGCGAUUAGACAUCAGAGAUCCAUGCUGGUACAUCCUCCCAGUCUCAGUAUGAUUUGUGCCAUAAUAUGUUUUCAGGGGAAGUAAACAUUCACUUAAAACUUUUCUGCUCAUCAGUGCACACCCUUGUAUAUGUGACAUUUGGGGGGUUAUAUAAUUCCCUUAGAGCUCCAGCUACUCACCUGUCCAGAUGAGGAAUUAAUGUGACACAAACACAACAGAGAAUUGUGCAGGAAGAUAAAUUAAUAUCCCUCAACCACUAAUUUAUUUAGUGAUGACACACUGUUUCUAGUCAUGUACUGAGCCUAAACUGAUUUAUUCUACCUGUUUUUUCUUAUAUCUAACAUUUCAUGAGAAAGACCACACUUUAUUGUCAGCAUUGUAAUACAAGAAUUAAUAAAUAUGCAAAGCUAUUAUUGCUCAUAGACAUGAGUAAUAAGCAUCUUAUAUAUCACACUGUGAUGGCUGUUCUUCUUUAUCUGUCUUUGGCUGCCAUACUACCGAGAUUAUUUUCUGUUCUCCCUUUGUAAUUUUUUAUUUUGCCUUGUUUUAGAAGCUCUCCUCUGUAACAACUGUUGCGCCUCUCUUGAUCUUAAAUACAAGUUACAGUGCAUUAAAUCUGCUCAUUAUUCUUAAAAUGUUUUGCAUAGAUGUUUGAUAAUAUUGUAAUAAUAAAAAGUAUACCUCA